CACAGUUCGAGCUUGAAUUGCGUUUCGUAGGUUACGUCUACGUUAAAACGUUACAGUUAAAUAUAACUGCUAAAAACGAAAACAACUCUUACGCUUUAGCUGCCUAAAAACAGUUAGCGUAGAUCCUCUCGGCAUCGCCCAUGUGCUCGAGUAAGGGUCUCAAAUUUAGUGGGAUACGUUAAACUUUUCCGUCUGUAAAGUUUAAAAGAGAUCAUCAGACUAGCAAUACAGAAUGCCUGUCACUCGGCAAGCUGUAAAGCGAAACCUCAAAUGAGUUGACUAUGAACGUAGAUUUUUAAGUGUCGAUGUG
RNAcentral lists this transfer-messenger RNA (310 nucleotides) under Enterococcus durans. It matches the Rfam family "transfer-messenger RNA", at positions 24 to 339 of the family's 374-position model. From Rfam's summary of the family: Bacterial tmRNA, also known as 10Sa RNA or SsrA, is named for its dual tRNA and mRNA-like properties. Its role is to liberate the mRNA from a stalled ribosome. The record is from Rfam by way of RNAcentral. Lineage: Bacteria; Bacillati; Bacillota; Bacilli; Lactobacillales; Enterococcaceae.